This 305-nucleotide ribosomal RNA is filed under the name uncultured bacterium. Its description in RNAcentral is "bacterial SSU rRNA". It matches the Rfam family "Bacterial small subunit ribosomal RNA", at positions 334 to 636 of the family's 1533-position model. The record is from RNAcentral.
UGUCCCUACGGGAGGCAGCAGUGAGGAAUAUUGGUCAAUGGACGAGAGUCUGAACCAGCCAAGUAGCGUGAAGGAUGACUGCCCUAUGGGUUGUAAACUUCUUUUAUAAAGGAAUAAAGUGAGGCACGUGUGCCUUUUUGUAUGUACUUUAUGAAUAAGGAUCGGCUAACUCCGUGCCAGCAGCCGCGGUAAUACGGAGGAUCCGAGCGUUAUCCGGAUUUAUUGGGUUUAGAGGGAGCGUAGAUGGGUUGUUAAGUCAGUUGUGAAAGUUUGCGGCUCAACCGUAAAAUUGCAAUUGAUACUGG